UAUGUACUCCCUCUGUCCAGAAAUACUUGUCCUAAAAAUGAAAAAAAAUGGAUGUAUCUAUAACUAUAAUAAGUUUAGAUACAACCAUUUCGAGAACAAAUAUUUCCGGACGAAGAGAGUAUUAC
Triticum aestivum (bread wheat) is the source of this 125-nucleotide non-coding RNA. Lineage: Eukaryota; Viridiplantae; Streptophyta; Magnoliopsida; Poales; Poaceae. The record is from Rfam.